AGAGUUUGAUCAUGGCUCAGAAUCAACGCUGGCGGCGUGCCUAACACAUGCAAGUCGAACGCGCCUAGCGAUAGGCGAGUGGCGGACGGGUGAGUAACGCGUGGGAACCUGCCCUUGAGUGCGGGAUAACCGAGGGAAACUUCGGCUAAUACCGCAUGCGCCCCGGGCAACUGGGGGAAAGAUUUAUCGCUCGAGGAGGGGCCCGCGUCGGAUUAGCUAGUUGGUGGGGUAAUGCCUACCAAGGCGAUGAUCCGUAGCUGCUGAGAGGGAUGAUCAGCCCANNCUGGGACUGAGACACGGCCCCAGACUCCUACGGGAGGCAGCAGUAGGGGAAUAUUGGACAAUGGGGGCAACCCCUGAUCCCAGCAAUGCCGCGUGAGUGAUGAAGGCCUUAGGGGUUGUAAAGCUCUUUCGCACGCGACGAUGAUGACGGUAGCGUGAGAAGAAGCCCCGGCUAACUUCGUGCCCAGCAGCCGCGGUAAUACGAAGGGGGCGAGCGUUGUUCGGAUUUACUGGGCGUAAAGGGCGCGUAGGCGGCGGUCCAAGUCGAGUGUGAAAGCCCCGGGCUCAACCUGGGAGGUGCGCUCGAGACUGGUCCCGCUGGAGUUCGGGAGAGGAGAGUGGAAUUCCCAGUGUAGAGGUGAAAUUCGUAGAUAUUGGGAAGAACACCGGUGGCGAAGGCGGCUCUCUGGACCGAGACUGACGCUGAGGCGCGAAAGCGUGGGGAGCAAACAGGAUUAGAUACCCUAGUAGUCC
Molecule: ribosomal RNA, 756 nt
Filed under: uncultured bacterium
Lineage: Bacteria
Description: bacterial SSU rRNA
Rfam family: Bacterial small subunit ribosomal RNA
Source: RNAcentral